GACGAACGCUGGCGGCGUGCUUAACACAUGCAAGUCGAACGGAAAGGCCCUGCUUUUGUGGGGUGCUCGAGUGGCGAACGGGUGAGUAACACGUGAGUAACCUGCCCUUGACUUUGGGAUAACUUCAGGAAACUGGGGCUAAUACCGGAUAGGAGCUCCUGCUGCAUGGUGGGGGUUGGAAAGUUUCGGCGGUUGGGGAUGGACUCGCGGCUUAUCAGCUUGUUGGUGGGGUAGUGGCUUACCAAGGCUUUGACGGGUAGCCCGCCUUGGAGGGUGAACGGGCCCCAUGGGCCUGGGGUACGGGCCAGUCCGCCACCGGGGGCAAUAGGGGGGAAUAUUGCACAAUGGGCGGAAGCCUGAUGCAGCAACGCCGCGUGCGGGAUGACGGCCUUCGGGUUGUAAACCGCUUUCGCCUGUGACGAAGCGUGAGUGACGGUAAUGGGUAAAGAAGCACCGGCUAACUACGUG
RNAcentral lists this ribosomal RNA (468 nucleotides) under uncultured bacterium. RNAcentral describes it as "partial 16S ribosomal RNA". It matches the Rfam family "Bacterial small subunit ribosomal RNA", at positions 28 to 507 of the family's 1533-position model. The record is from RNAcentral.